GAAAACCUGAAAUUAAAACAGAGAAGACUAGAGAUUACAGUGUGUUGUAUGCACAGGUCUCCCACGAUAGAGCUAAAACCAAGAAAGACAACAAUGACAGCCUGUUGUACGCACAGGUCUAUUACACUAAAGCAAAACCUAAGAGACACAAAGGGAAACCAGCUC
Molecule: long non-coding RNA, 165 nt
Organism: Oreochromis aureus
Lineage: Eukaryota; Metazoa; Chordata; Actinopteri; Cichliformes; Cichlidae
Exons: 4
Source: RefSeq, a predicted model, not a curated record